CCGAGUUUACAACUCCCAAACCCCUGUGUACAUACCAAUCGUUGCCUCGGCGGAUCAGCCCGCUCCCGGUAAAACGGGACGGCCCGCCAGAGGACCCCUAAACUCUGUUUCUAUAUGUAACUUCUGAGUAAAACCAUAAAUAAAUCA
RNAcentral lists this unclassified non-coding RNA (147 nucleotides) under soil metagenome. RNAcentral's name for it is "partial internal transcribed spacer 1". The record is from RNAcentral.